UAUUCUACUGAGAAUACAGGCCUUUAUAUAUAUGAUCAUUAUAUGUGUGAUGAGGUCAUUAUAUGUAUGAUCUGGACACCCAGUAGAAUC
Chlorocebus sabaeus (green monkey) is the source of this 90-nucleotide microRNA precursor. NCBI's taxonomy places the organism in Eukaryota, Metazoa, Chordata, Mammalia, Primates, Cercopithecidae. The record is from Ensembl.